UUCAAGCAUAUCAAUAAGCGGAGGAAAAGAAACUAACAAGGAUUCCCCCAGUAAUGGCGAAUGAAGCGGGAAGAGCUCAAAUUUGGAAUCUCCGUCGCCGUCGCGACGGCGAAUUGUAGUCUCGAGAGGCGCCGUCAGGGCGAUCGAGCCGGGCCCGCCCAGGUUGCCUGGAACGGCACGCCGGAGAGGGUGACAGCCCCGUCGACGGCGGGCCCCGGCGCGCCGACGAGGCGCCCUCCAAGAGUGGGUUGCUUGGG
This 257-nucleotide ribosomal RNA is filed under the name Phymanthus loligo. RNAcentral describes it as "partial large subunit ribosomal RNA". It matches the Rfam family "Eukaryotic large subunit ribosomal RNA", at positions 33 to 278 of the family's 3401-position model. The record is from RNAcentral. Lineage: Eukaryota; Metazoa; Cnidaria; Anthozoa; Actiniaria; Phymanthidae.